Molecule: ribosomal RNA, 374 nt
Filed under: uncultured prokaryote
Description: bacterial SSU rRNA
Rfam family: Bacterial small subunit ribosomal RNA
Source: RNAcentral
UACGUAGGGACCGAGCGUUGUCCGGAAUCAUUGGGCGUAAAGAGCGUGUAGGCGGCUUGGUAGGUCUCGUGUGAAAUCCCGCGGCUCAACCGCGGACCCGCACGGGAAACCCCCAAGCUCGAGUCCGGAAGAGGAGAGUGGAAUUCCUGGUGUAGCGGUGAAAUGCGCAGAUAUCAGGAAGAACACCCGUAGCGAAGGCGGCUCUCUGGGACGGUACUGACGCUGAGACGCGAAAGCGUGGGGAGCAAACAGGAUUAGAUACCCUGGUAGUCCACGCCGUAAACGAUGGGCGCUAGGUGUGGGAGGUGUCGACUCCUCCCGUGCCGAAGCUAACGCAUUAAGCGCCCCGCCUGGGGAGUACGGCCGCAAGGCUA